RNAcentral lists this non-coding RNA (22 nucleotides) under Arabidopsis thaliana (thale cress). Lineage: Eukaryota; Viridiplantae; Streptophyta; Magnoliopsida; Brassicales; Brassicaceae. The record is from RNAcentral.
CUUUACAAUUGUUGAAUGUCAA